RNAcentral lists this ribosomal RNA (396 nucleotides) under uncultured bacterium. RNAcentral's name for it is "bacterial SSU rRNA". It matches the Rfam family "Bacterial small subunit ribosomal RNA", at positions 975 to 1368 of the family's 1533-position model. The record is from RNAcentral.
CAGCCCUUGACAUCCCGGUCGCGGACUCCAGAGACGGAGUUCUUCAGUUCGGCUGGACCGGAGACAGGUGCUGCAUGGCUGUCGUCAGCUCGUGUCGUGAGAUGUUGGGUUAAGUCCCGCAACGAGCGCAACCCCCGUCCUUAGUUGCUACCAUUUAGUUGAGCACUCUAAGGAGACUGCCGGUGAUAAGCCGCGAGGAAGGUGGGGAUGACGUCAAGUCCUCAUGGCCCUUACGGGCUGGGCUACACACGUGCUACAAUGGCGGUGACAAUGGGAUGCUAAGGGGCGACCCUUCGCAAAUCUCAAAAAGCCGUCUCAGUUCGGAUUGGGCUCUGCAACUCGAGCCCAUGAAGUUGGAAUCGCUAGUAAUCGUGGAUCAGCACGCCACGGUGAAUA